UUGAAGAGUUUGAUCAUGGCUCAGAUUGAACGCUGGCGGCAGGCCUAACACAUGCAAGUCGAGCGGUAGCACAGAGAGCUUGCUCUCGGGUGACGAGCGGCGGACGGGUGAGUAAUGUCUGGGAAACUGCCUGAUGGAGGGGGAUAACUACUGGAAACGGUAGCUAAUACCGCAUAACGUCGCAAGACCAAAGUGGGGGACCUUCGGGCCUCAUGCCAUCAGAUGUGCCCAGAUGGGAUUAGCUAGUAGGUGGGGUAACGGCUCACCUAGGCGACGAUCCCUAGCUGGUCUGAGAGGAUGACCAGCCACACUGGAACUGAGACACGGUCCAGACUCCUACGGGAGGCAGCAGUGGGGAAUAUUGCACAAUGGGCGCAAGCCUGAUGCAGCCAUGCCGCGUGUGUGAAGAAGGCCUUCGGGUUGUAAAGCACUUUCAGCGGGGAGGAAGGCGAUAAGGUUAAUAACCUUGUCGAUUGACGUUACCCGCAGAAGAAGCACCGGCUAACUCCGUGCCAGCAGCCGCGGUAAUACGGAGGGUGCAAGCGUUAAUCGGAAUUACUGGGCGUAAAGCGCACGCAGGCGGUCUGUCAAGUCGGAUGUGAAAUCCCCGGGCUCAACCUGGGAACUGCAUUCGAAACUGGCAGGCUAGAGUCUUGUAGAGGGGGGUAGAAUUCCAGGUGUAGCGGUGAAAUGCGUAGAGAUCUGGAGGAAUACCGGUGGCGAAGGCGGCUCCCUGGACAAAGACUGACGCUCAGGUGCGAAAGCGUGGGGAGCAAACAGGAUUAGAUACCCUGGUAGUCCACGCCGUAAACGAUGUCGAUUUGGAGGUUGUGCCCUUGAGGCGUGGCUUCCGGAGCUAACGCGUUAAAUCGACCGCCUGGGGAGUACGGCCGCAAGGUUAAAACUCAAAUGAAUUGACGGGGGCCCGCACAAGCGGUGGAGCAUGUGGUUUAAUUCGAUGCAACGCGAAGAACCUUACCUGGUCUUGACAUCCACAGAACUUUCCAGAGAUGGAUUGGUGCCUUCGGGAACUGUGAGACAGGUGCUGCAUGGCUGUCGUCAGCUCGUGUUGUGAAAUGUUGGGUUAAGUCCCGCAACGAGCGCAACCCUUAUCCUUUGUUGCCAGCGGUUAGGCCGGGAACUCAAAGGAGACUGCCAGUGAUAAACUGGAGGAAGGUGGGGAUGACGUCAAGUCAUCAUGGCCCUGACCAGGCUACACACGUGCUACAAUGGCAUAUACAAAGAGAAGCGACCUCGCGAGAGCAAGCGGACCUCAUAAAGUAUGUCGUAGUCCGGAUUGGAGUCUGCAACUCGACUCCAUGAAGUCGGAAUCGCUAGUAAUCGUAGAUCAGAAUGCUACGGUGAAUACGUUCCCGGGCCUUGUACACACCGCCCGUCACACCAUGGGAGUGGGUUGCAAAAGAAGUAGGUAGCUUAACCUUCGGGAGGGCGCUUACCACUUUGUGAUUCAUGACUGGGGUGAAGUCGUAACAAGGUAACCGUAGGGGAACCUGCGGUUGGAUCACCUCCUU
RNAcentral lists this ribosomal RNA (1532 nucleotides) under Klebsiella pneumoniae. RNAcentral's name for it is "bacterial SSU rRNA". It matches the Rfam family "Bacterial small subunit ribosomal RNA". The record is from RNAcentral. Lineage: Bacteria; Pseudomonadati; Pseudomonadota; Gammaproteobacteria; Enterobacterales; Enterobacteriaceae.